GUCAGGAUGGCCGAGCGGUCUAAGGCGCCAGACUCAAGGUUGUUGUAUACUUUCUCAGUUCUUCGCUGAGUUUCUGGGCAUUCUGGUCCUCUCUGAGGGCGUGGGUUCGAAUCCCACUUCUGACA
RNAcentral lists this transfer RNA (125 nucleotides) under Dufourea novaeangliae. It matches the Rfam family "tRNA". Rfam says of the family: Transfer RNA (tRNA) molecules are approximately 80 nucleotides in length. Their secondary structure includes four short double-helical elements and three loops (D, anti-codon, and T loops). The record is from Rfam by way of RNAcentral. Lineage: Eukaryota; Metazoa; Arthropoda; Insecta; Hymenoptera; Halictidae.